UACAGAGGUCUCAAGCGUUGUUCGGAUUCAUUGGGCGUAAAGGGCGCGUAGGCUGCGGGGCAAGCCGGGUGUGAAAUCUCAGAGCUCAACUCUGAAACUGCACUCGAUACUGCUUUGCUUGAGGACUGGAGAGGAGAUUGGAAUUCACGGUGUAGCAGUGAAAUGCGUAGAUAUCGUGAGGAAGACCAGUGGCGAAGGCGGAUCUCUGGACAGUUCCUGACGCUGAGGCGCGAAGGCCAGGGGAGCAAACGGG
Molecule: ribosomal RNA, 253 nt
Filed under: uncultured bacterium
Lineage: Bacteria
Description: partial 16S ribosomal RNA
Rfam family: Bacterial small subunit ribosomal RNA
Source: RNAcentral